AUUGAACGCUGGCGGCAGGCUUAACACAUGCAAGUCGAGCGGGCACUUUCGGGUGUCAGCGGCGGACGGGUGCGUAACGCGUGGGAACGUGCCCUCUGGUUCGGAAUAACUCAGGGAAACUUGAGCUAAUACCGGAUACGCCCUUUUGGGGAAAGGCUUGCUGCCGGAGGAUCGGCCCGCGUCUGAUUAGCUAGUUGGUGAGGUAACGGCUCACCAAGGCGACGAUCAGUAGCUGGUCUGAGAGGAUGAUCAGCCACACUGGGACUGAGACACGGCCCAGACUCCUACGGGAGGCAGCAGUGGGGAAUAUUGGACAAUGGGCGCAAGCCUGAUCCAGCCAUGCCGCGUGAGUGAUGAAGGCCUUAGGGUUGUAAAGCUCUUUUAUCCGGGACGAUAAUGACGGUACCGGAGGAAUAAGCCCCGGCUAACUUCGUG
This 435-nucleotide ribosomal RNA is filed under the name uncultured bacterium. RNAcentral describes it as "partial 16S ribosomal RNA". It matches the Rfam family "Bacterial small subunit ribosomal RNA", at positions 30 to 507 of the family's 1533-position model. The record is from RNAcentral.